CAUGAUCAUAAGUAUAAGCAAUUAUACGGCGAAACUGCGAAUGGCUCAUUAAAUCAGUUAUCGUUUAUUUGUACCUUACUACUUGACCGUGGUAAUUCUAGAGCUAAUACAUGCUUAAAACCCCGACUCACGAAGGGGUGUAUUUAUUAGAUUAAAAACCAAUGCCCUUCGGGGCUCUUUGGUGAUUCAUAAUAACUUUUCGAAUCGCAUGGCCUUGCGCCGGCGAUGGUUCAUUCAAAUUUCUGCCCUAUCAACUUUCGAUGGCAGGGUCUUGGCCUGCCAUGGUGACAACGGGUAACGGAGGGUUAGGGCUCGACCCCGGAGAAGGAGCCUGAGAAACGGCUACUACAUCCAAGGAAGGCAGCAGGCGCGCAAAUUACCCAAUCCCGACUCGGGGAGGUAGUGACAAUAAAUACUCAGGGCUCUUUUGGGUCUUGUAAUUGGAAUGAGUACAAUUUAAAUCCCUUAACGAGGAACAAUUGGAGGGCAAGUCUGGUGCCAGCAGCCGCGGUAAUUCCAGCUCCAAUAGCGUAUAUUAAAGUUGUUGCAGUUAAAAAGCUCGUAGUUGAACCUUGGGCCUGGCUGGCCGGUCCGCCUCACCGCGUGCACUGGUUCGGCCGGGCCUUUCCCUCUGGGGAACCGCAUGCCCUUCACUGGGUGUGUCGGGGAACCAGGACUUUUACUGUGAAAAAAUUAGAGUGUUCAAAGCAGGCCUAUGCUCGAAUACAUUAGCAUGGAAUAAUAGAAUAGGACGUGUGGUUCUAUUUUGUUGGUUUCUAGGACCGCCGUAAUGAUUAAUAGGGACAGUCGGGGGCAUCAGUAUUCAAUUGUCAGAGGUGAAAUUCUUGGAUUUAUUGAAGACUAACUACUGCGAAAGCAUUUGCCAAGGAUGUUUUCAUUAUUCUGUGAACGAAAGUUAGGGGAUCGAAGACAAUCAGAAUCCGUCGUAGUCUUAACCAUAAACUUUGCCGACUAGGGAUCGGGCGAUGGUUUAUUAUUUGACUCGCUCGGCACCUUACGAGAAAUCAAAGUCUUUGGGUCUGGGGGGGGAGUAUGGUUA
RNAcentral lists this ribosomal RNA (1060 nucleotides) under Dichotomophthora lutea. RNAcentral describes it as "SSU rRNA". It matches the Rfam family "Eukaryotic small subunit ribosomal RNA", at positions 54 to 1131 of the family's 1831-position model. The record is from RNAcentral. Lineage: Eukaryota; Fungi; Ascomycota; Dothideomycetes; Pleosporales; Pleosporaceae.